CCCUUAGAUGUUCUGGGCCGCACACGUGCUACACUGAGUGGAUCAGCGGGUCAGGUUGCGCGAAAGUGUUUCCUAAUCUUUAAAUCCGCUCGUGAUGGGGAUUGACGGUUGCAAUUUUCCGUCAUGAACGAGGAAUACCUUGUAAGCGCGGGUCAUCAUCUCGCGCUGAAUACGUCCCUGCCCUUUGUACACACCGCCCGUCGCUCCUACCGAUUGAGUGGUCCGGUGAGGCUUUGGGAUCUGAGCGGAAAGAGCGUUUCGCUGUUUCUGCCCGGAAAACUCAGUCGAACCUUAUCAUUUAGAGGAAGGAGAAGUCGUAACA
Molecule: ribosomal RNA, 322 nt
Filed under: uncultured eukaryote
Lineage: Eukaryota
Description: partial 18S ribosomal RNA
Rfam family: Eukaryotic small subunit ribosomal RNA
Source: RNAcentral